RNAcentral lists this ribosomal RNA (468 nucleotides) under uncultured bacterium. RNAcentral describes it as "partial 16S ribosomal RNA". It matches the Rfam family "Bacterial small subunit ribosomal RNA", at positions 28 to 507 of the family's 1533-position model. The record is from RNAcentral.
GACGAACGCUGGCGGCGUGCUUAACACAUGCAAGUCGAACGGAAAGGCCCUGCUUUUGUGGGUUGCUCGAGUGGCGAACGGGUGAGUAACACGUGAGUAACCUGCCCUUGACUUUGGGAUAACUUCAGGAAACUGGGGCUAAUACCGGAUAGGAGCUCCUGCUGCAUGGUGGUGGUUGGAAAGUUUCGGCGGUUGGGGAUGGACUCGCGGCUUAUCGGCUUGUUGGUGGGGUAGGGGCUUACCAAGGCUUUGACGGGUAGCCGGCCUGAGCGGGUGACCGGCGACAAUGGGCCUGAGAUACGGCCCAGACUCGUACGGGAGGCAGCAGUGGGGAAUAUUGCACAAUGGGCGGAAGCGUGAUGCAGCAACGCCGCGUGCGGGAUGACGGCCUUCGGGUUGUAAACCGCUUUCGCCUGUGACGAAGCGUGAGUGACGGUAAUGGGUAAAGAAGCACCGGCUAACUACGUG